GGGAGAGAAGCGCACACAGGCAAAGUACAUCACAGAGUGGUUCUACUGGAGAACCAUCACAGAAGAUGUAAAGGAGUUUAUUGCCACAUGCACUCAGUGUCAAAAAGUGCAAAAGAUAAAGACAAUGGUUCCUGAACUGACACCAAUAUAUGCCAAACAGCCCUGGGAGCUUGUUGGUAUCGAUCUUAUUGGUCCAUUCAAGGAGACAUCCACAGGUUUUAAAUACAUCAUGUCAGGGACAUGUCUCUUUUCCAAGUGGGUAUAAGCCGAGCCAAUCAAGGCAAAAUCAGCAGAGUGUGUGUACCAGGUGUUAGUGAAGUGGAUACAUCGUUGGGGUGCACCACUUAAG
Long non-coding RNA from Dendronephthya gigantea, 349 nucleotides. RefSeq lists it as uncharacterized. The record is from RefSeq and is a predicted model, not a curated record. NCBI's taxonomy places the organism in Eukaryota, Metazoa, Cnidaria, Anthozoa, Malacalcyonacea, Nephtheidae. The transcript is spliced from 3 exons.